ACCAGACUCCUACGGGAGGCAGCAGUGGGGAAUAUUGGGCAAUGGGCGCAAGCCUGGCCCAGCAACGCCGCGUGCAGGAAGAAGGUUUUCGGAUUGUAAACUGCUUUAGACGGGGAAGAAACAAGACAGUACCUGUAGAAUAAGCUCCGGCUAACUACGUGCCAGCAGCCGCGGUAAUACGUAGGGAGCAAGCGUUAUCCGGAUUUAUUGGGUGUAAAGGGUGCGUAGACGGGAAGGCAAGUUGGUUGUGAAAUCCCUCGGCUUAACUGAGGAACUGCAACCAAAACUAUCUUUCUUGAGUGCUGGAGAGGAAAGUGGAAUUCCUAGUGUAGCGGUGAAAUGCGUAGAUAUUAGGAGGAACACCAGUGGCGAAGGCGACUUUCUGGACAGUAACUGACGUUGAGGCACGAAAGUGUGGGGAGCAAACAGGAUUAGAUACCCGAGUAU
RNAcentral lists this ribosomal RNA (447 nucleotides) under uncultured bacterium. RNAcentral describes it as "partial 16S ribosomal RNA". It matches the Rfam family "Bacterial small subunit ribosomal RNA", at positions 330 to 793 of the family's 1533-position model. The record is from RNAcentral.